GAUGAACGCUGGCUACAGGCUUAACACAUGCAAGUCGAGGGGAAACGACGGGGUAGCUUGCUUCCCCGGGCGUCGACCGGCGCACGGGUGAGUAACGCGUAUCCAACCUGCCUCUGACUGAGGGAUAACCCGUCGAAAGUCGGCCUAAUACCUCAUGGCAUCGUCUGCGGGCAUCCAACGACGAUUAAAGAUUUCAUCGGUCAGGGAUGGGGAUGCGUCUGAUUAGCUUGUUGGCGGGGUAACGGCCCACCAAGGCUACGAUCAGUAGGGGUUCUGAGAGGAAGGUCCCCCAGAAUGGAGCUGAGACACGGACCAAACUCGUACGGGAGGCAGCAGUGAGGAAGAUUGGGCAAUGGGCGGGAGCCUGAACCAGCCAAGUAGCGUGCAGGAUGACGGCCCUAUGGGUUGUAAACUGCUUGUAUGCGGGGAUAAAGUGAGGGACGUGUCCUUCAUUGCAGGUACCGCAUGAAUAAGGACCGGCUAAUUCCGUG
Molecule: ribosomal RNA, 491 nt
Filed under: uncultured bacterium
Lineage: Bacteria
Description: partial 16S ribosomal RNA
Rfam family: Bacterial small subunit ribosomal RNA
Source: RNAcentral